This 253-nucleotide ribosomal RNA is filed under the name uncultured bacterium. RNAcentral's name for it is "partial 16S ribosomal RNA". It matches the Rfam family "Bacterial small subunit ribosomal RNA", at positions 524 to 776 of the family's 1533-position model. The record is from RNAcentral.
UACAGAGGCCUCAAGCGUUGGUCGGAUUCAUUGGGCGUAAAGGGUGCGUAGGUGGCGCCGUAAGUCGGGUGUGAAAUUUCGGAGCUUAACUCCGAAACUGCAUUCGAUACUGCGGUGCUUGAGGACUGGAGAGGAGACUGGAAUUCAUGGUGUAGCAGUGAAAUGCGUAGAGAUCAUGAGGAAGACCAGUGGCGAAGGCGGGUCUCUGGGCCGAUACUGACGCUGAGGAGCGAAAGCGUGGGGAGCAAACAGG